GUGGGUAUAGCUUAGUGGUAGAGCAUUUGACUGCAAAUUAUCAUUUAGAUUAAUGUGCUUAUA
RNAcentral lists this transfer RNA (63 nucleotides) under Myotis davidii. It matches the Rfam family "tRNA". From Rfam's summary of the family: Transfer RNA (tRNA) molecules are approximately 80 nucleotides in length. The record is from Rfam by way of RNAcentral. Lineage: Eukaryota; Metazoa; Chordata; Mammalia; Chiroptera; Vespertilionidae.